CACACCGCCCGUCGCUACUACCGAUUGAAUGGCUCAGUGAGGCGUCCGGACUGGCCCAGAGAGGUGGGCAACUACCACUCAGGGCCGGAAAGUUCUCCAAACUCGGUCAUUUAGAGGAAGUAAAAGUCGUAACAAGGUCUCCGUUGGUGAACCAGCGGAGGGAUCAUUACCGAGUUUACAACUCCCAAACCCCUGUGAACAUACCUCUUGUUGCUUCGGCGGGAUCGCCCCAGCGCCCUCGGGCCUGGAACCAGGCGCCCGCCGGAGACCCCAAACUCUGGUUUCAAUGUGAUCUUCUGAGUCUCACAAACAAAUAAAUCAAAACUUUCAACAACGGAUCUCUUGGUUCUGGCAUCGAUGAAGAACGCAGCGAAAUGCGAUAAGUAAUGUGAAUUGCAGAAUUCAGUGAAUCAUCGAAUCUUUGAACGCACAUUGCGCCCGCUAGUACUCUAGCGGGCAUGCCUGUUCGAGCGUCAUUUCAACCCUCAAGCCCCCCCGGGGCUUGGUGCUGGGGAUCGGCCACUGCUUGCCCGGUGGCCGGCCCUGAAUUAUAGUGGCGGUCUCGCUGUAGCCUCCUCUGCGUAGUAGCACACCUCGCACUGGAACGCGGCGCGGCCACGCCGUAAAACCCCCCCCAACUUCUGAAAGGUUGACCUCGGAUCAGGUAGGAAUACCCGCUGAACUUAAGCAUAUCAAUAAGCGGAGGAAAAGAAACCAACAGGGAUUGCCCCAGUAACGGCGAGUGAAGCGGCAACAGCUCAAAUUUGAAAUCUGGCCCUCGCGGCCCGAGUUGUAAUUUGCAGAGGAUGCUUUUGGUGCGGUGCCUUCCGAGUUCCCUGGAACGGGACGCCAUAGAGGGUGAGAGCCCCGUCUGGUUGGACACCAAGCCUCUGUAAAGCUCCUUCGACGAGUCGAGUAGUUUGGGAAUGCUGCUCAAAAUGGGAGGUAUAUGUCUUCUAAAGCUAAAUAUUGGCCAGAGACCGAUAGCGCACAAGUAGAGUGAUCGAAAGAUGAAAAGCACUUUGAAAAGAGGGUUAAAUAGUACGUGAAAUUGUUGAAAGGGAAGCGUUUGUGACCAGACUUGGGCCCGGUCAAUCAUCCGGCGUUCUCGCCGGUGCACUUGGCCGGCCCAGGCCAGCAUCAGUUUGCUGCGGGGGAGAAAAGCGUCGGGAAUGUAGCUCCUCGGAGUGUUAUAGCCCCUCGCACAAUACCCUGCGGCGGACUGAGGUUCGCGCAUCUGCAAGGAUGCUGGCGUAAUGGUCAUCAACGACCCGUCUUGAAACACGGACCAAGGAGUCGUCUUCGUAUGCGAGUGUUCGGGUGUCAAACCCCUACGCGUAAUGAAAGUGAACGGAGGUGAGAGCUACGGCGCAUCAUCGACCGAUCCUGAAGUUCUCGGAUGGAUUUGAGUAAGAGCAUACGGGGCCGGACCCGAAAGAAGGUGAACUAUGCCUGUAUAGGGUGAAGCCAGAGGAAACUCUGGUGGAGGCUCGCAGCGGUUCUGACGUGCAAAUCGAUCGUCAAAUAUGGGCAUGGGGGCGAAAGACUAAUCGAC
This 1555-nucleotide ribosomal RNA is filed under the name Thyronectria caraganae. Its description in RNAcentral is "eukaryotic LSU rRNA". The stretch from base 651 to 1555 matches the Rfam family "Eukaryotic large subunit ribosomal RNA", at positions 1 to 940 of the family's 3401-position model. Lineage: Eukaryota; Fungi; Ascomycota; Sordariomycetes; Hypocreales; Nectriaceae. The record is from RNAcentral.